UAAACUUCCUAAAAGAGUAAUGUUCAAGAAAAUUAAAGUUUUUGGCGGUUAGAUCAAUUUAGAGGAGCUCGCUUAUGAAUCGAAUUUACUCGUUAUAUCUUAUUUAUUAAAGUUUAUUUAUCUCCGUUAUUAAGCUUUCUGCUUACCAUAUUAAUUAAAAUAACAUUUCAGGUCAAGAUAUAGCCAUAAUAAACUUAAGUUAGCUACCUUAACAAAAUGAAUCUAUAUAUAUAGAUAUAUAAAGAAAAUGAAUUUAACUGUAAUCCAUUUUAAAAUAAAAAGAUGAAUAAUAUCUUCUA
Molecule: ribosomal RNA, 299 nt
Filed under: Lomanius longipalpus longipalpus
Lineage: Eukaryota; Metazoa; Arthropoda; Arachnida; Opiliones; Podoctidae
Description: partial 12S ribosomal RNA
Source: RNAcentral